Molecule: ribosomal RNA, 207 nt
Filed under: uncultured bacterium
Lineage: Bacteria
Description: partial 16S ribosomal RNA
Rfam family: Bacterial small subunit ribosomal RNA
Source: RNAcentral
CGUGUAGGUGGUUUGGUAAGUUGGGUAUGAAAUCUCCUGGCUUAACUAGGAGAGGUUGCUCAAAACUGCCAGACUAGAGGACGAUAGAGGAAGGUGGAAUUCCCGGUGUAGUAGUGAAAUGCGUAGAUAUCGGGAGGAACACCAGUGGCGAAGGCGGCCUUCUGGGUCGUUCCUGACACUAAGACGCGAAAGCAUGGGUAGCAAACG